This 429-nucleotide ribosomal RNA is filed under the name Gemmatimonadota bacterium. Its description in RNAcentral is "Gemmatimonadetes bacterium partial 16S ribosomal RNA". It matches the Rfam family "Bacterial small subunit ribosomal RNA", at positions 355 to 776 of the family's 1533-position model. The record is from RNAcentral. Lineage: Bacteria; Pseudomonadati; Gemmatimonadota.
UAGGGAAUCUUCGGCAAUGGACGAAAGUCUGACCGAGCAACGCCGCGUGAGUGAAGAAGGUUUUCGGAUCGUAAAACUCUGUUGUUAGAGAAGAACAAGGACGUUAGUAACUGAACGUCCCAUGACGGUAUCUAACCAGAAAGCCACGGCUAACUACGUGCCAGCAGCCGCGGUAAUACGUAGGUGGCAAGCGUUGUCCGGAUUUAUUGGGCGUAAAGCGAGCGCAGGCGGUUUCUUAAGUCUGAUGUGAAAGCCCCCGGCUCAACCGGGGAGGGUCAUUGGAAACUGGGAGACUUGAGUGCAGAAGAGGAGAGUGGAAUUCCAUGUGUAGCGGUGAAAUGCGUAGAUAUAUGGAGGAACACCAGUGGCGAAGGCGGCUCUCUGGUCUGUAACUGACGCUGAGGCUCGAAAGCGUGGGGAGCAAACAGG